GGAAUAAUAGUUAAUUAUAACAUUUGAAUUGCACUCAAAAGGUAUUGGAAUCAAUUUAUUUCA
This 63-nucleotide transfer RNA is filed under the name Epacanthaclisis banksi. RNAcentral describes it as "tRNA-Ala". It matches the Rfam family "tRNA". From Rfam's summary of the family: Transfer RNA (tRNA) molecules are approximately 80 nucleotides in length. Their secondary structure includes four short double-helical elements and three loops (D, anti-codon, and T loops). Further hydrogen bonds mediate the characteristic L-shaped molecular structure. tRNAs have two regions of fundamental functional importance: the anti-codon, which is responsible for specific mRNA codon recognition, and the 3' end, to which the tRNAs corresponding amino acid is attached (by aminoacyl-tRNA synthetases). tRNAs cope with the degeneracy of the genetic code in two manners: having more than one tRNA (with a specific anti-codon) for a particular amino acid; and 'wobble' base-pairing, i.e. permitting non-standard base-pairing at the 3rd anti-codon position. Lineage: Eukaryota; Metazoa; Arthropoda; Insecta; Neuroptera; Myrmeleontidae. The record is from RNAcentral.